RNAcentral lists this ribosomal RNA (429 nucleotides) under Chloroflexota bacterium. RNAcentral describes it as "Chloroflexi bacterium partial 16S ribosomal RNA". It matches the Rfam family "Bacterial small subunit ribosomal RNA", at positions 355 to 776 of the family's 1533-position model. Lineage: Bacteria; Bacillati; Chloroflexota. The record is from RNAcentral.
UAGGGAAUCUUCGGCAAUGGACGAAAGUCUGACCGAGCAACGCCGCGUGAGUGAAGAAGGUUUUCGGAUCGUAAAACUCUGUUGUUAGAGAAGAACAAGGACGUUAGUAACUGAACGUCCCCUGACGGUAUCUAACCAGAAAGCCACGGCUAACUACGUGCCAGCAGCCGCGGUAAUACGUAGGUGGCAAGCGUUGUCCGGAUUUAUUGGGCGUAAAGCGAGCGCAGGCGGUUUCUUAAGUCUGAUGUGAAAGCCCCCGGCUCAACCGGGGAGGGUCAUUGGGAAGUGGGGGACUUGAGUGCAGAAGAGGAGAGUGGAAUUCCAUGUGUAGCGGUGAAAUGCGUAGAUAUAUGGAGGAACACCAGUAGCGAAGGCGGCUCUCUUGUCUGUAACUGACGCUGAGGCUCGAAAGCGUGGGGAGCAAACAGG